CACGUAGGGCGCAAGCGUUGUCCGGAAUUAUUGGGCGUAAAGAGCUCGUAGGCGGUCUGUUGCGUCCGCUGUGAAAACCCGGGGCUUAACCCUGGGCUGGCAGUGGAUACGGACAGACUAGAGGUAGGUAGGGGAGAAUGGAAUUCCCGGUGUAGCGGUGAAAUGCGCAGAUAUCGGGAGGAACACCGGUGGCGAAGGCGGUUCUCUGGGCCUUACCUGACGCUGAGGAGCGAAAGCUAGGGGAGCAAACGGG
RNAcentral lists this ribosomal RNA (253 nucleotides) under uncultured bacterium. Its description in RNAcentral is "partial 16S ribosomal RNA". It matches the Rfam family "Bacterial small subunit ribosomal RNA", at positions 524 to 776 of the family's 1533-position model. The record is from RNAcentral.